This 449-nucleotide ribosomal RNA is filed under the name uncultured bacterium. RNAcentral describes it as "partial 16S ribosomal RNA". It matches the Rfam family "Bacterial small subunit ribosomal RNA", at positions 29 to 523 of the family's 1533-position model. The record is from RNAcentral.
AACGAACGCUGGCGGCAUGCCUAAUACAUGCAAGUCGAACGAACACUUCGGUGUUAGUGGCGCACGGGUGCGUAACGCGUGGGAAUCUGCCCUUGGGUUCGGAAUAACUUCGGGAAACUGAAGCUAAUACCGGAUGAUGACGUAAGUCCAAAGAUUUAUCGCCCAAGGAUGAGCCCGCGUAGGAUUAGGUAGUUGGUGAGGUAAAGGCUCACCAAGCCUACGAUCCUUAGCUGGUCUGAGAGGAUGAUCAGCCACACUGGGACUGAGACACGGCCCAGACUCCUACGGGAGGCAGCAGUAGGGAAUAUUGGACAAUGGGGGCAACCCUGAUCCAGCAAUGCCGCGUGAGCGAUGAAGGCCUUAGGGUUGUAAAGCUCUUUUACCCGAGAUGAUAAUGACAGUAUCGGGAGAAUAAGCCCCGGCUAACUCCGUGCCAGCCGCCGCGGUAA